Non-coding RNA from Heterocephalus glaber (naked mole-rat), 410 nucleotides. Lineage: Eukaryota; Metazoa; Chordata; Mammalia; Rodentia; Bathyergidae. The record is from RefSeq and is a predicted model, not a curated record.
UGCUCCAGGCCAGUGGAAGAGAGGCGGAAGCCCUCCCGUCUCCGUCUCCGCUGCACAUCUCCCGCCCACACGGGUUGGGUCCCAGGCUCAUUCUGAACCACCCAGUACCUGAAUGGUCCACAUCUGACUCGGGCUGAGUGUGGACUGGGGACUGGCAGUGGGUUCCCAGAGGAAAAUCACUGUUCUGUUACCCAGGAGACAGGUUUGAAUGAGACUCUGUAUAGGAAAGUACUCUGUAAUAUGAAGGGCUACCCAGCACUUGGGAAGCUGAGGCAGGAGGAUCGCCAUGAGUCCGAAGCUGGCCUGGUCUACAUCGUGAGUUCAAGACCAACCUGAACUACACAGCAAGAUGCUGUCUCAACAAAACAAAAUUGUGAAGGGCUACACAAAAAUGAAGGAUUGUUACUAUU